ACAAGCGGUGGAGCAUGUGGUUAAUUCGACGCAACGCGAAGACCUUACCAGGGCUUGACAUCCCCUGACCGCGUAUGAAAGUACGUUUUCACCCUCGGGUGACAGGGAGACAGGUGGUGCAUGGUUGUCGUCAGCUCGUGUCGUGAGAUGUUGGGUUAAGUCCCGCAACGAGCGCAACCCCUACGUUUAGUUGCUAACGCGUGAAGGCGAGCACUCUAGACGAACUGCCGUUGACAAAACGGAGGAAGGUGGGAUGACGUCAAAUCAUCAUGCCCCUUAUGUUCUGGGCUACACACGUGCUACAAUGGCCGGUACAGACGGACGCAAAGCCGCGAGGCGGAGCAAAUCCGAAAAAGCCGGUCUCAGUUCGGAUUGCAGGCUGCAAUUCGCCUGCAUGAAGUCGGAAUCGCUAGUAAUCGCAGGUCAGCAUACUGCGGUGAAUACGUUCCCGGGCCUU
RNAcentral lists this ribosomal RNA (457 nucleotides) under uncultured Pelotomaculum sp. RNAcentral's name for it is "bacterial SSU rRNA". It matches the Rfam family "Bacterial small subunit ribosomal RNA", at positions 925 to 1382 of the family's 1533-position model. Lineage: Bacteria; Bacillati; Bacillota; Clostridia; Eubacteriales; Desulfotomaculaceae. The record is from RNAcentral.